Molecule: ribosomal RNA, 467 nt
Filed under: uncultured bacterium
Lineage: Bacteria
Description: partial 16S ribosomal RNA
Rfam family: Bacterial small subunit ribosomal RNA
Source: RNAcentral
GACGAACGCUGGCGGCGUGCUUAACACAUGCAAGUCGAACGGAAAGGCCUCUUUCGGGGGGUACUCGAGUGGCGAACGGGUGAGUAACACGUGAGUAACCUGCCCUUGACUUUGGGAUAACUUCAGGAAACUGGGGCUAAUACCGGAUAGGAGCUCCUGCUGCAUGGUGGGGGUUGGAAAGUUUCGGCGGUUGGGGAUGGACUCGCGGCUUAUCAGCUUGUUGGUGGGGUAGUGGCUUACCAAGGCGUUGACGGGUAGCCGGCCUGAGAGGGUGACCGGCCACAUUGGGACUGAGAUACGGCACAGACUCCUACGGGAGGCAGCAGUGGGGAAUAUUGCACAAGGGGUGGAAGCCUGAUGCAGCAACGCCGUGUGCGGGAUGACGGCCUUCGGGUUGUAAACCGCUUUCGCUCAUGACGAAGCUUUGUGUGACGGUAGUGGGUAAAGAAGCACCGGCUAACUACGUG